GAUGAACGCUAGCGGCAGGCCUAACACAUGCAAGUCGAGGGGUAGAGGAAGCUUGCUUCCUUGAGACCGGCGCACGGGUGCGUAACGCGUAUGCAAUCUACCUUGUACAGGGGGAUAGCCCAGAGAAAUUUGGAUUAAUACCUCAUAGUGUUUAAGAGUGGCAUCACUUUUUUACUAAAGUUCCAACGGUACAAGAUGAGCAUGCGUCCCAUUAGCUAGUUGGUGUGGUAACGGCAUACCAAGGCAAUGAUGGGUAGGGGUCCUGAGAGGGAGGUCCCCCACACUGGUACUGAGACACGGACCAGACUCCUACGGGAGGCAGCAGUGAGGAAUAUUGGGCAAUGGAGGCAACUCUGACCCAGCCAUGCCGCGUGCAGGAAGACGGUCCUAUGGAUUGUAAACUGCUUUUGUACGAGAAGAA
RNAcentral lists this ribosomal RNA (421 nucleotides) under Bacteroidetes bacterium oral taxon F31. RNAcentral describes it as "bacterial SSU rRNA". It matches the Rfam family "Bacterial small subunit ribosomal RNA", at positions 28 to 449 of the family's 1533-position model. The record is from RNAcentral. Lineage: Bacteria; Pseudomonadati; Bacteroidota.